This 1173-nucleotide long non-coding RNA is filed under the name Physcomitrium patens. Its description in RNAcentral is "long non-coding RNA (PPAT_LNC014145)". Lineage: Eukaryota; Viridiplantae; Streptophyta; Bryopsida; Funariales; Funariaceae. The record is from RNAcentral.
AAGCUGAAAGGAUUUAUUGCCUUGUGACCUUUCGGAGUGGACACUGGGUGGGUGAGUUAGAUUUUUCAUGAAUCUUUAGCAAUGAAUGGCAAUGUACAUCUCCAAUCGUAUUUAAUGAGCGCAACCCUGUCCUUUUGUGUAGUGGGAUGGAAAGCAGUCGGUACAUCUUCGACAAGUCCAUGGCCUAGGAGGUACAUAUCUUCUCUGACGUACAUAUUUGCGAAUCGGAACUGAUUUUGCUUCCCAAGCCUGAUUGAAAAGGACACUCAUCUCAGAUGGCAGACUUCUCGGAGAGAUAGGGGUUGAGAAUGAUACUUCCUUCUUCACAUUUACAUUGGAUCCUUGUGCAGGACCUCAAGGUCUACGUUUCAAGAUAAUGAGAAGGUGCGACAACCAGGGCUUUCGUAUGAAAUAGGAGGUUCUCAAACAAGGACGCGUUCGGAUCUUGUUGCAACGAGGUGUACUUGGUUCUGACCAAGUUAUGUUGAUUACUUUCCCUUUUCGACAAAUAUACUUAAUCAUUUUUCCUCAGGUUUUAUAUCCGAAAGACUGAAAACUCCGUCUGCGCAAGCUAUCUUAAUCGGCUGAGUCGAUUUCAUGGCUCAUUUCGAGCAACGCCUUGUUUCCGUUAGUUCAGAUGGAGCAAUUACGUACGACCACGAGAAAUCCUUUAGGGUAAUUGUACUGUCAGUCAGCAACCGGCUUCCAUGAACUUGGUUGUAGUGAAACAGGGUAACUCCUCAGACAACCUAGGAAUUGCUGUGAGUAUACCAUUCUUGAGCAAAUCCUUUUCGGAAAAGAUGAACUGUAAACUGGCUCUACUGCAGCGAGUUGCAGGAAAGCGCGUCUCCUGAAAGUAACAACUCCUGUGCCACUUGCUUGCACUCUUUAGCAGAUGCCUGAUAUGUUGAACGCUUCUGGAGUCUUCAUCGGCAGCCGUUUGCGACAGAUUUUUACUACGAAUAACCACUUUUAACAGAAGUAGAAAAGCCUUGAAGGAGUGGACUCCAAGAGAGCCACCAAUAUUCUCCAUCUUUUCAACGUCGCCAAAUUCAUGUCUCCAAAACUCGAGUGAAACAAUCUUUCCACAUUCCAGUUAAUUUUAAUUUUUAAAAUAUAUUCAGUUUUAUAGUUGCAGUUUUUUAGCACAUAACCGUGAGCAUUCAAUAACAA